This 1269-nucleotide ribosomal RNA is filed under the name Triticum aestivum (bread wheat). Its description in RNAcentral is "partial small subunit ribosomal RNA". Lineage: Eukaryota; Viridiplantae; Streptophyta; Magnoliopsida; Poales; Poaceae. The record is from RNAcentral.
AUGGCAUCCGCAGCCACCAUUGCUUGCCUGCUUCUCUUUGCUCCCCUGCUCACCGCCGCCGCGACCACCAUUCAGCAGUCCAACGGCAGUGCACUCGCGGCCGCGGCCGCGAACUACCAGAUCGUGCGAGCCGACAUGGCACCCGCGUCGCCGUCCUGGGUCAUCCUCGGUAGCGUGCCGCGGGUGGCGGCCGCCGACGCCGACCUCCCUCAGGGCGCCGACCUCUCCCUCGCGCUGCCGCCGCCCCCGCGCGUCGCGCUCCUCACCAUCCCCUCGCGCAUCUUCCCGGGCCGAACCACCUCCGACAACUUCCCGUCCGUCCUCGCCGCUGACCCCUCCGGCCUCCUCCUCCUCCACGCCAACCAGGGCCGCGCCACGGGCCCCACCGUCAUCAACACCCCCAGCCUUCGCGAGUUCAGCUGGCGCCCGUUCGUCGCCGGCUACUUCGUCCUCGAUGCCACCACCGCCUCCGCCCGCCCGCUCCCGAAACCGGAGCUCAUCAUGAACCGGGAUCACCUCGGCCUCAUCUCCUCCCCCGGGGGCGGUGGCCACUACAUUGUCGCUCAGCUCCAGCAGAUCCUCGGCCAUGGCAAAGCCAUCCUCCUGCGCUUCUCGUCGGAAGCCGGGGAAUGGGUAACCAAGUUCAUCGGCUACCCGCUCCCAGCCCGCCAGUUCGCCCCCAACGGCGUGGUCUCGCACGCCGGGAGGCUCUGGUGGGUCGACCUCUACUGGUGCCUCCUCACAUGCGACCCAUUCGCGGACGAGCCGGUGCUGACAGCCGUCCCUCUCCCGGAGGGCAAGCAGCUCAAGUUCAUGGAAGCUUGGGGAGUGCUCGACAAGUACCGUUGCGUGGGUGUCAGCAGCGGGAAGCUGCGGUUCGCGGACAUGUACUCCAGGAACAGCGCUGCACAGGUCAGCGUCUGGACGCUCGCCGAUCCGGACACCACGGAGUGGAAGCUGGAGUACGAGGCCACGUUUGCGGAGAACUGGGACGACGCGAGCUACAAGGCGACUGGUCUGCCCAGGAAGAUCCCCGUGCUUGCGCUCAUCCACCCCACCAACCCGGACGUGGUCUACUUCUUCCUCGACGAGCAUCUGCUCGGCGUCGACGUGCGUGCUUGCAAGGUUGUGGAGUGUGAGGUCUACGAGCUGGUGGCGCCGCCUAGCGAACACGUCGCCACCAGUUUCAUUCACGCUUGGCAGCUGCCACGGGCUCUCAGCUCAGGUUCAGCAAAGAAGACCGAGGGUGUCGUGAAUGACGAGCUGUGA